GGGGAACAGAAUGUGUCUGAAGGCUCAGGAAGGUGUUGAAGUGUCUUUGCUCAACUUCAGACAACACGGAUUAAGGCCAUGGGGGUUCUUGAUUGACAGCACCAGCAGGACAAUGGGGGGUCUAAGUGCCCUCUGAGCCAACAGACCUGAGGAGGGAGAGGUACACCUGCUUCUCUGGAUGAAAAAUUGGAGAAAAUUAUUUCCUUUGCAAUCUUGAUGCUUAUCUUUUGACUUCGUUCACUGCAUUGUUAAUUAGAGGGCUGGAAUUUUCAGAACAGCGGCAUGCCACCUGCUAGAAACCCCUAUUGGUCUCGGUAGCUUCAGAAAGCAGGAAGAAAACCCAGGAGAAUUUUUUUUUUAAGAAAGACAAGAUCAAAGAAAGCAAAAACUGAG
Long non-coding RNA from Bos taurus (domestic cattle), 393 nucleotides. NCBI's taxonomy places the organism in Eukaryota, Metazoa, Chordata, Mammalia, Artiodactyla, Bovidae. The record is from Ensembl.